GAUUACGGCCAUGCCACUCUGAACAAGUCCAAUCUCGUCUAAUCUCGGAAGCUAAGCAGGGUUGGUUCUGGUUAGUACUUGGAUGGUAAACCACCUAGGAAGACCAGGUGGUGUAGGCG
RNAcentral lists this ribosomal RNA (119 nucleotides) under Pteropus alecto (black flying fox). Lineage: Eukaryota; Metazoa; Chordata; Mammalia; Chiroptera; Pteropodidae. The record is from RNAcentral.